UACACGCUGUGACUAGCAUAUCAAUAAGCGGAGGAAAAGAAACUAACAAGGAUUCCCCUAGUAACGGCGAGUGAAGCGGGAAGAGCUCAAAUUUGAAAUCUUAAAGGGUUUCCCUUUACGAAUUGUAGUUUAAAGAAGUGUUUUCUGUUGAGGUUUUGGUAAAAGUUCUUUGGAAUAGGACAUCAUAGAGGGUGAGAAUCCCGUAUUUGACCUUUACUUUCAACUUUGUGAUACACUUUCAAAGAGUCGGAUUGUUUGGGAAUGCAGUCCAAAAUGGGUGGUAAAUUUCAUCUAAAGCUAAAUAUUGGCGAGAGACCGAUAGCGAACAAGUACCGUGAGGGAAAGAUGAAAAGAACUUUGAAAAGGAGAGUUAAACAGUACGUGAAAUUGUCAAAAGGGAAGCGUUUGACACCAGUGUUGUUUUUCUGAAAAUCAAUUAAAGAACUGUUUAUGCUAAGCUGUUUAGACUUUAUCAGCUAUCUGUUUAGUUUUGAGCUUUUCUUUAAUGCACUUUUCAGUUAACAAGUCAACAUCAAUUUCUUUUGCUGUAAAAAAGCUUGAGGAAGGUGGCUUGAGAUUCGUCUUAAGUGUUUAUAGCCUCUUGCCUAUGCAGUCGGAGAGAUUGAGGUCUGCAGCGUAGAUCCUUCGGGGCUAAAUGCAUUUGUGCUAAGUUAUAGCAUUUUAUAGACAACUUGUUGACUAUGAUUUGUCUUGUAGCUUACUCGCUUAUGUUAUUUUACCUACGCUUAGGAUGUUGAUAUGCAUGACUGAUAU
This 774-nucleotide ribosomal RNA is filed under the name uncultured Neocallimastigales. RNAcentral's name for it is "partial large subunit ribosomal RNA". It matches the Rfam family "Eukaryotic large subunit ribosomal RNA", at positions 22 to 640 of the family's 3401-position model. The record is from RNAcentral. Lineage: Eukaryota; Fungi; Neocallimastigomycota; Neocallimastigomycetes; Neocallimastigales.